This 346-nucleotide small nuclear RNA is filed under the name Castor canadensis (American beaver). RNAcentral describes it as "7SK RNA (ENSCCNG00000012882.1)". It matches the Rfam family "7SK RNA". Rfam says of the family: 7SK was discovered as an abundant small nuclear RNA in the mid-70s but a possible function has only recently been suggested. The record is from RNAcentral. Lineage: Eukaryota; Metazoa; Chordata; Mammalia; Rodentia; Castoridae.
GGAUGUGAGGGCGAUCUGGCUGCGACAUCUGUUACCCCAUUGAUCGCCAGGGUUGAUUCGGCUGAUCUGGCUGGCUAGGCGGGUGUCCCCUUCCUCCCUCACCGCUCCAUGUGCGUCCCUCCAUGUGCGCGCUCAGUCGAAGAGGACGACCAUCCCCAGUAGAGGAGGACCGUUCUUCGGUCAAGGGUAUAUGAGUAGCUGCGCUCCCCUGCUAGAACCUCCAAACAAGCUCUCAAGAAUGGCUAUAACUGUAUUACCUAAGUUUCUAUGUCAUGUAUUCAUUUUCAUUCCACUCAAAGUAUUUUAAAUUUUCUUCUUGUGGUAAUUAGUGUGUGUGUGUGUGUGA